AUGUGUGAUCUCGGAUGGACACAUCCUGAGCCCCUCCUCUUACAGCCGGGCCUGCGGGAUUGGGGGCCUGGUGAGAGGACUCAGACCUGGUCCCAGCCCUCCUCUACCUCAUCGUCUGAGAAUCUGGUAAGACACGGACUGAGUCUUACAACUUUGAGGCCUGAGGAUAAUUUAGAGGUCAAGUGCUCCAAGGGGCUAUCGAACUUGCUUCAUCUCAUAAUCCUAAAGUGGGAAACAGAGAAGGGGGGCUGGGCGGGAGGGGGGGGGGGGGGGGUAGGUGCAGGGGUUACUUCCUAGGGGCUCUGGAGCCUCUGAGCUGGUUCCCAGCCUGGAUCUGCCUUAGGUCCAGGCGGAGAAGGCAGCCAGAGGCCAGGGGUUAAGGAUCUGCUGCUGAAAACGGAGGGGCUGGUCUUUGGGCAGAGGCCUAGUGGGGGGAGCCUAGCCUGGACUGUGGCUCCUCUAAGUCCUCCCCAGACGCUGGUGGCUUCCUCCACCUUGAGGAGCGUUUCAAAUUCCAAGCUAGGCAAGCCUCCUUAGCUGCCUCUGGCUCCCCACUAUUGUCGCAGAAUGAUUCUGUGUCAGGGACCUACUGUGUGCCAGGCACUUAGGUAGGCGCCUCACUUGCCGGAUCUCUAGCCUUCCAACGGGACUCUAGGAGGUGAAGUGACCUGCCUAAGAUUACACUGCUAGCAACCGGCCAAGAACCCAGCAAAAUUGGGACUCUUUUUAGAGAUGAAACAUCAGAGACUGACCCAUUCCCUUGUUUUAGGUCUAAGAGACAACAGAUGCUCCGAGAGGGCAACUCCUCCCUUGCGUCGGUCACACAGCCAGUUAGCUUCACAGCGGAGACUGGAAUUCAGAUUUAGGGUUUCCCAAGCCAUGUAGGAAACUGAACUUGAAGGCUCUGGUUUAUUCCUCUCCUGCCCUCCCCACCCCCAACCUCUCUUAUAUGACACUUGACAUUAUCCAUCACUUCCUCCCCCUGGGAACGCCUUCCUCCUCCAGUUUCUAUGGCAGCAUAUUAUCCCCAUCCUCCUCCUGCUUCUCCGGCAGCUUCUCACUCUCCGCUGUGGUUCCUGAGCCUAGAAGGUGGUGGGAUCCCCAGGCCAGGUCCCCGGUGUCUUCUCUCUGCAUUGCUGCCCCUGAAAGCUCAUCUAGUCUUCCCUCUAGGCCUCCAGCUCUGACCUUGAGCUGCAGGACCGCUUCUAAGUAACAACAGCCACUUGCCCUGUGCUAAGAGCUUACCUGUAUUUGGGACCCUGUGUUUGCACAUUAGCUUAUUAAAUCCUCACAACGUCCCCAUGAAGAAAGUCCGUUCUACAGAUGAGGAAACUGAGGCAGAGAGGGAAAGCCAAAAUCUGACUCUAGCUUUAACCACUACUUCUAUUACCACAAGAAAAGAUAGGAAAUUGUAGGACGUUUUGAAACCAGAGGCAAAAACUUGCCUCCACCUCCUGAAGAGAGGGGAGUGGAAACCUGGUGGGGGGGAUCAGACCUACUUCAUGGUUUUGAGAGCCCUGUGAUGAUCUAGAAUUACACUGUCAAUUUGGAGCUUUAAAGUGCAUCAUGCACAGUACAUUCUGAAAUGUGAAGAUUUGGAGAGCUCCAGGAGGAACAAAAGUUCAGGGAAAAUUGCCCUUUUCCUUCAGAUUUUUCCAUUUGGUUUUAAGUCUUCAAAAAUCCGCAUUCCGGGGUUUCAGCAACUAAGGUUCUUCUAUAUUGAUGAUGCCUGGAAUUCACCAGAAACUCGGAUGCUGGAGUUCUACUGACCUGAGGCUCUGUGACUAGGGGUGAGUGGCUUGACCUCUGAACCUGUUGUCUAAAAUGAGGGUAAUAGUACUUCCACUUGGCUGUCAUGAGGCUUGGAUGGGAAAAUGUGCAUAAAGCACUUGGCACAGAGCCUGGCACUCGAAAGUGCUCAGUUAAGCUCCAUACUUGAGAUGCACAUGGCUUUUCUCAGGUUCGCCAAGCACCUUAACAUUUCCAUGCUUUUGCACAUGCUGUCCCCUCUUCUUGGUGGCCAACUCCUACACAUCCUUUAAAGCCCUCUAUUUCCAAUGUCUUCUAGAAUUGCUACAAAUGGGUUUUAGUAAAAAGCUAGAAAAGAUACUUUCCCGUGCCAUCCUCCCCAGGGCUUCCUGUCACUGCAUGCCUCGCACUGAGAUGCAAUGAUCUGUUGAUGCCUCGUGUCCCAGGCUGGGCUUGAAUUUCCUGAGGGCAGGGCUAUCUCUGACUUAUUUCUGAGUUCCAAUGCCUGGGGUACACAGCCUGGUACCAAGCGGAUUUCAGUACAAGCUGGCUUUACCUUAAAUGCGCAUGGUCUGGACCCAGCCUCUGCUGACUCCAGGACAGAUUUAUGUAUGAAAAGUAGUAAAAAGCAGCCAGGUCUGUUACAGCCUUUGGAAAUGGCAGUGAGCAGGUCCAGGGCAAGCUUAAGAGAGGGUUGAAGGGGACACAGCCCUUGCAGGGAGAAUCAACAGCCCUGGAUCCAAGGUCACCUUCUUCAGAAGUCUUCCCCCAUCCCUAAAUUGUCCCCUGUCUCUGACAUCUCUCCAAGGCAUUAGCAGGAAGGGUCCCACACAAUGAAGAGUGUCCAGGAGGGACCCCCGCCUUGCUGAUACCCCACCCCCUCAAGCAUUCAAACACAGAAGUCUCUAUGGGCACUGAGCACUGCCUUACAUCUUCCAAAGUGCUACUGAAGCCAUUUCCUGGAGGAAGAAAAUUCUCAGAUCUGGAGCUUCUUGGGGUCUGCACCCUGAGAUGGGGCUGUGCUUUGUCUACUAAAGGGCAUCCCUACCCCUAAUGUGCCCAAAGCCCAUCCUGGUGCCUAAACCCCCAACCUCCUGAAUGGUAGUUCUUCCCCUGCUGGAGUGACAGUCUCCCAGACAAGGGAGAGGCUUUUGUUCCAAGGAAAUGACUGUCAAAAGGGAGAAGAGGUAUCUUCUUUCCUUUUUUUUUUUUUUUUUUUUUUUGGUUUGAGACAAAGACGUCAGUUUCUUUCCAUCUGUCCCAAAAAGGGAAGAAAAAAUUAAUUUGUUUCUACAAGGAUGUCAGCUCACUGCUUCAAUAGGGAGGCAGGGGUGCGGGACUGAAGCAGUGUCUGUGAGGGGAGGGGGCGGGGAGAGGAGGUGAAGCACGGGGGAGGCAUAGGGAACAAGGACAGUCCCUGAUAGGAAAGCAAAGACCUAGGAAUGC
RNAcentral lists this long non-coding RNA (3195 nucleotides) under Canis lupus familiaris (dog). RNAcentral describes it as "lncRNA (ENSCAFG00030008514.1)". The record is from RNAcentral. Lineage: Eukaryota; Metazoa; Chordata; Mammalia; Carnivora; Canidae.